UACGUAGGGGGCGAGCGUUACCCGGAUUCACUGGGCGUAAAGGGGGCGCAGGCGAUCCAGUAUGUCGGGUGUGAAAUCCCACAGCUCAACUGUGGAAUUGCGCCCGAAACUACUGGGUUUGGGGCUGGUAGAGGGAGACGGAACUGCUGGUGUAGGGGUGAAAUCCGUAGAUAUCAGCAGGAACGCCGGUGGGGAAGCCGGUCUCCUGGGCCGUUCCUGACGCUGAGGCCCGAAAGCUAGGGGAGCAAACCGG
Molecule: ribosomal RNA, 253 nt
Filed under: uncultured microorganism
Description: partial 16S ribosomal RNA
Rfam family: Bacterial small subunit ribosomal RNA
Source: RNAcentral